RNAcentral lists this ribosomal RNA (1046 nucleotides) under uncultured Arthrobacter sp. RNAcentral describes it as "bacterial SSU rRNA". It matches the Rfam family "Bacterial small subunit ribosomal RNA", at positions 337 to 1393 of the family's 1533-position model. Lineage: Bacteria; Bacillati; Actinomycetota; Actinomycetes; Micrococcales; Micrococcaceae. The record is from RNAcentral.
UCCUACGGGAGGCAGCAGUGGGGAAUAUUGCACAAUGGGCGCAAGCCUGAUGCAGCGACGCCGCGUGAGGGAUGACGGCCUUCGGGUUGUAAACCUCUUUCAGUAGGGAAGAAGCGAAAGUGACGGUACCUGCAGAAGAAGCGCCGGCUAACUACGUGCCAGCAGCCGCGGUAAUACGUAGGGCGCAAGCGUUAUCCGGAAUUAUUGGGCGUAAAGAGCUCGUAGGCGGUUUGUCGCGUCUGCCGUGAAAGUCCGGGGCUCAACUCCGGAUCUGCGGUGGGUACGGGCAGACUAGAGUGAUGUAGGGGAGACUGGAAUUCCUGGUGUAGCGGUGAAAUGCGCAGAUAUCAGGAGGAACACCGAUGGCGAAGGCAGGUCUCUGGGCAUUAACUGACGCUGAGGAGCGAAAGCAUGGGGAGCGAACAGGAUUAGAUACCCUGGUAGUCCAUGCCGUAAACGUUGGGCACUAGGUGUGGGGGACAUUCCACGUUUUCCGCGCCGUAGCUAACGCAUUAAGUGCCCCGCCUGGGGAGUACGGCCGCAAGGCUAAAACUCAAAGGAAUUGACGGGGGCCCGCACAAGCGGCGGAGCAUGCGGAUUAAUUCGAUGCAACGCGAAGAACCUUACCAAGGCUUGACAUGGACCGGAAACACCUGGAAACAGGUGCCCCGCUUGCGGCCGGUUCACAGGUGGUGCAUGGUUGUCGUCAGCUCGUGUCGUGAGAUGUUGGGUUAAGUCCCGCAACGAGCGCAACCCUCGUUCCAUGUUGCCAGCGCGUAAUGGCGGGGACUCAUGGGAGACUGCCGGGGUCAACUCGGAGGAAGGUGGGGACGACGUCAAAUCAUCAUGCCCCUUAUGUCUUGGGCUUCACGCAUGCUACAAUGGCCGGUACAAAGGGUUGCGAUACUGUGAGGUGKAGCUAAUCCCAAAAAGCCGGUCUCAGUUCGGAUUGGGGUCUGCAACUCGACCCCAUGAAGUCGGAGUCGCUAGUAAUCGCAGAUCAGCAACGCUGCGGUGAAUACGUUCCCGGGCCUUGUACACACCGC